UACGGGGGGGGCAAGCGUUGUUCGGACUUACUGGGCGUAAAGGGUUCGUAGGUGGCCUGCUAAGUCAGACGUGAAAUCCCUCAGCUUAACUGGGGAACUGCGUCUGAGACUGGUGGGCUUGAGUGCAGGAGAGGAACGCGGAAUUCCAGGUGUAGCGGUGAAAUGCGUAGAUAUCUGGAGGAACACCGGUGGCGAAGGCGGCUCACUGGACCGGUAUUGGCGCUGAGGUGCGAAAGCGUGGGGAGCAAACAGG
Molecule: ribosomal RNA, 253 nt
Filed under: uncultured bacterium
Lineage: Bacteria
Description: partial 16S ribosomal RNA
Rfam family: Bacterial small subunit ribosomal RNA
Source: RNAcentral